CCCAGACUCCUACGGGAGGCAGCAGUGGGGGAUAUUGCACAAUGGGGGAAACCCUGAUGCAGCGACGCCGCGUGUGGGAAGACGGUCUUCUGGAUUGUAAACCACUGUCCCCAGGGACGAAAAUGACGGUACCUGGGGAGGAAGCCCCGGCUAACUACGUGCCAGCAGCCGCGGUAAUACGUAGGGGGCGAGCGUUAUCCGGAUUCACUGGGUGUAAAGGGAGCGUAGACGGCCAUGCAAGCCAGGGGUGAAAGCCCGGGGCCCAACCCCGGGACUGCCCUUGGAACUGCAUGGCUGGAGUGCGGGAGGGGCAGGCGGAAUUCCUGGUGUAGCGGUGAAAUGCGUAGAUAUCAGGAGGAACACCGGCGGCGAAGGCGGCCUGCUGGACCGCGACUGACGUUGAGGCUCGAAAGCGUGGGGAGCGAACAGGAUUAGAUACCCCGGUACAA
RNAcentral lists this ribosomal RNA (449 nucleotides) under uncultured bacterium. RNAcentral describes it as "bacterial SSU rRNA". It matches the Rfam family "Bacterial small subunit ribosomal RNA", at positions 330 to 794 of the family's 1533-position model. The record is from RNAcentral.